RNAcentral lists this long non-coding RNA (230 nucleotides) under Homo sapiens (human). Its description in RNAcentral is "HSALNT0166589". Lineage: Eukaryota; Metazoa; Chordata; Mammalia; Primates; Hominidae. The record is from RNAcentral.
UGGAAAUAUCCUGCAGUUAGAUGUUAAGGACAUGAGCAAAUCCUUAACCAAUGCUCCAACCAAGUACAGUGAAACUGGAAUGUACAGAGUGGACAAUGGAACGAAGGAGAACAAGACCAAAGGACAUUUUAUUUUUAUCUGUAUCAGUGGGUCAAAGUCCUUUCAGAAGGAGCAUAUAGUGGACCUAGGUGAUUGGUCAAUUUAUCCAUCAAAGAGGCACACACCGAAUU